GGCUCGGAUGAGACGUUGACCGUUGCCUCGGAGACCCAAGCCACGAAAGUUCAAUUCCCGACUUCUAACACAAGUUUCUCACAAUCCACUGGUAUCUAAGUGUCUACCUACGAUUAGCACUCUUGUUCGGUCGUGAAUCUGGUUUGGACGUGUUGCUUCCGACGUUGAAGUUACGAUACGUAGUGCUGCCCAAAGAUGUUGGCAGGUGGAUUCUGUUCACCACUGUCGUACAACCGUUAAUCCGUUUUUGACCUGCAGAGGUACUUCGUUUUGCACACCAGUGAAGAAGGAUGCCAUCACUACACUGUACUAGCCCUGCUACCAUUAAACUUGUAGCGACCUCUUUCGGUCGUUUCCUGUUCCCACAAAACCUUGCUCUACAUGUCGAUUGCACCGUGUUUUCUGCCGUUGUGCGGGCGCCGUUUUACCUUGGUCAAGUAACAUCAACUUGCCCGUUACUCAGAAUUGCCCACCUUCAAAGCGGUGGACACGAUUACUUGUUUUGUUCUAGCCGUCGCCUGACGCAUCACCAGUGAUGGCUUCAGAUACACCUCCACAUAUUAUACUGGUAACACCUCACUCAAUCGAGCGUAACGUGGAAGAACUGAAAAAAAAGAGACCUCCCUUGUGACAGCUCUCUAUUGCUGAGCCGGACACAACUAGGACCCCUGGAACAUCAGUCCUGUGAACGUCUUUCGUGAGUGUGGUAGUACGCAAACCUAUUUCGUACACCUCGUAUCAAUUUUUCGCAACUCGUUUUGCCUAUUCGGUACAGUCGGGAACCCGUGGAAGGAGAAGAAUACCCGGUUACUUCUCAUUUCGAGGAAGUUUCAAUUUAUCCGAAAUACGUCUGUAUCUGUGUUCCGUCAUCUAUCGAUAGCACCAUUCCUUGGA
Molecule: long non-coding RNA, 894 nt
Filed under: Toxoplasma gondii VEG
Lineage: Eukaryota; Apicomplexa; Conoidasida; Eucoccidiorida; Sarcocystidae
Source: RNAcentral